RNA transcript from Colossoma macropomum (tambaqui), 3469 nucleotides. It is a transcript of the gene named deltex E3 ubiquitin ligase 3, with no coding region annotated. The transcript is spliced from 6 exons. The record is from RefSeq and is a predicted model, not a curated record. NCBI's taxonomy places the organism in Eukaryota, Metazoa, Chordata, Actinopteri, Characiformes, Serrasalmidae.
GUGGACAGAUCAGCCUGGACUUUAAUCCUGUCCAAUCUAAGAGUGACGAACUUCCUGCUUACAUUAUCAUGCAUCCUACGUGUGAUCCAUUGUAAUUGGGGGAACUGUAGGAGAGAAAAGAUGACACAGAAACAGUCCGUGUACGGUGCCAGUACGGUUAAGAAAAAAACACAGUCGUCGUGACUGACCGAAAACAAACGGAGCCAUGACUGCUUCCACUGUUUACAUGCCUUCCGCGACCAAGGACAGGACGUGGGACCGGGAGAGCAGGAGAACAGCCUGAGUUGGUGCAGGUUUAGACUAUCUGGACUCGCGGGGCGAGCAGGGCCAGUUCGACUCCAGUGUCUUUGCUUUGAAGGUAAAUACAGUAAAUACAGAGCUCGCCUCGUCGUUUCAUCGAAUGGAAAAGUACUUUCAGCUCGCAGUUUAUCCCCCUGUACACCGACCUCUUCCGGCAGAGUCAGUACAGAAGGCUUAUAAACCUGCAGUUAAAGAGAAUUUAUGGGAUCACAAGUUUCAUCUGAUGAGAUGAGUGUGCGUGCGGGGCAGGGCAGUGACGAGGUGUUGGUGUCUCAGGCUGUGUGGGAUUAUCUCGCAGCGGCUGGGCGACCCUGGCUGCUCGACUUUGAGGAUAAGCAGGGUCUAAGUGCUGGCAUCAUCCGGCGUGGGGAGCGCGGUGGCUGCUGCGCGGUGCGGCUCUCUCCAGUGGAGGGCAGCAGCAGGGCCAGGACCGGCAUGAUGGAGGGCCCAGUGUCCCCUGCCACACGGAAAGCCUUUAUAGACCUAUGCCGUUGUGCCCGCAAGGAAAUGACCAAACAGGAGGCUGCUCCCAAGAGAAAGCGCUCUCUGUUACCCUGCGUUGGGGUGAUGGAAGUGGACGGGGAGGGCAGUUUACUUCCUCCUCCUCCGCCACAGCCACGUCGUUCUCAGAGGCAACAGCAGCAGAGGUACAGGAGAAGUGCUGAUAUGGAGACCAGUGUGGUUCUGCCCAUGCAGCAUGAGGCCACCACAAGGACUGAAGCUGAGCUGAAUGUAGGCCAGCCAAGUGAAGAGGAUGGUGCCAGCUGCUCCAUCUGCAUGGACGAGAUAGUGGAGAAGACUACUCUAGAGAAGUGUGGCCAUUCCUUCUGCCGUUCUUGCUUGGAUCAAGCUUUCCAGGUGAAGAAGGCUUGUCCUGUCUGCAGGCUGGUUUAUGGUCAGCUCAUUGGGAACCAGCCAGCCAACGGUAGCAUGAUGGUGGAGAGAGACCCAGACCUGGAGCUGCCUGGGCAUGAAGGAUAUGGCUGCAUAUGCAUUAUCUAUAGCUUCCCUCCAGGGUUCCAGUCACAAGAGCACCCAAACCCUGGAGUGCGGUACCCAGGCACAGACCGUGUAGCGUAUCUACCGGACAGUCCUGAGGGAAACCGUGUGCUGCGCCUGCUGCGGCGGGCUUUUGAACAACGGCUCAUCUUCACUAUAGGAACCUCCAUGACUACAGGCAUGCAUAACGUCAUCACCUGGAAUGAUAUCCACCAUAAGACCUCUAUAUGGGGUGGACCACGAUGCUUUGGCUACCCAGAUCCUACAUACCUCGUGCGGGUGACUGAGGAGCUGCGGGAAAAGGGAAUAACAGACGACUGAUUCUUUGAUACGCAGGACGUUGGGCUUACUAUGGGACUGGCAAAUGGGCUGACUUGACCACAGACUCUCCACAGGUUUACUGUGACAACGCAAGUCACAGCCAUGUUCUGCAGCAAUGGUUUAGACAAGAAGAUUCUUUGUGCACCAAGUUUGUUUUGUUUCUUUUUUGUUUAAACUUGCUCUUGGAGUGAUGCGUUAUAAAUCACAGACGCAUCUAACAUUUGUGGUGGGUCCCCUGGAGCAGUACUGGGAAACACUGCUUUAGGGAAUCAGAAGCGGUUCUUCUUUGGACGGAGUGGGGAACUGAGAGCCUGAGUCCAGCACUGUUUCGUGAUUUCUCUGCUCUGAUGCAACAACUAAGCCUAGAGGUGUGUUUGAACAGGAAAAUUGCCAAACUGUGUAGGAAUCCAGCCUCCAAUUUCUUUUUUUUCGAUGGAAUCACUCCAACGAACUCUUUUUGGGACCUUUACUUUAAGGAAUGUAAUGAACAAAUGACCUCCCACAGCUUUACUGAUACUCCUGGGACAAUCCCACUCAAGCAGGUUUUUGCUUGUUUGUUUUCUUUAAGCAGCACUAUAAGGCACUUUGCAGUGAUGGAAGUGAGUUACUAAUGGAGAUCUUUGCGAUCGUAAGGAAUCUAACAGCUACUACAGUCUGAUGUCAAUCCCUCUGAGCUUUUUAUCUUCUUAUAAACUUCCCCUUUGUCUGAUCAAGUGAAAAGGGUAGUCUUGCAUUUCAGGACUAUGGAGAAAAAAGGCCUUGUUUUUGUGUUUGGCCAAUUGAUUAUCUGUAAUUCGUGUUCUGUUAAUGUUCAGAACCUCCCUAUAAGGAAUCGCUGCUGCUAUCAGGUCAGCGCUGAAUUCUGGGGCAGGAGAAAAUGUCAAGUGAAGAUCUCCUGCCCCGACUGAAAUGUUCAGAAGGUUUCUUUAGCAUGUUUACAUUUAGAAGAUUUCUAUUAAUUGUCUAUUAGUAAAUGCAGUAUUGCUGCAGUUGCUGAUUGGGGCUUUAAUGUUCAAAGUUGAUCAGAUUUAUAAGAUGAUGUCAUUAUAAAAGGUCCUGCUGACCACCCUGAGCAAAACAAAAGGCACAAUCAUUCCACAGUGUAACUAUCAUACCUUAACCUCAAAGCCAGAGAAUGCUAAUGAUUUAUUUCCACGAUGGUAGGCUAGCUUCGUUUAUAGCACACAAAACAAUGUUCAGUGUUUUUCAAUGUUCAAGUGAAUAUCUGAAGUAUAUGCAGCAGUUUAUGAUUGGGGGAAAAUAUGCAGUAAUGUUUUUACAUCAUUCGAAGUGUUGAUGUACUUUCAACUAAAUUCACGGCAUGAUAAAACUAACGAUAACCAUUUCUACAUAGUAGGUGUUCAUGGGUUAAAAAUCGGAAGCCUUUGUUUGUUCAGGUGUUCUGUCUCUAAGUAGAGACGUGCCUCACAAUAGUGUACUUGCUCUAGAAUUCGGUUCACAGAUGACUGAAGGCAUAAAAAAUCUUAGUUUCAACUAUGCCACAAAUAUCAGGUUUCAGAUCAGAUUCAUUUCAGACUCAUCAGAAAGAAAGAAGUGUAGAAUAUCUGUAAAGCUGGUAAACAUUUCCUUUGUUCGCCCCUCUUUCUUUUUGUUUUACGGGACCAAUUCAGAGGUACCUUUGAAUGAUGUAUAGGUGUACCUAUCAUGCAAAAUUCUAUGCAGUUCAAGUUAGAUGGGAAGAAAAUAGACCUCUUCAGAUAAUUGAUUGUUAAUCAAGUUAAUGAUUUGCCUUUAUGAUUGUGUUGAUUUGUACAUGACAAAACUGUCUGCUACAAUUUAAAAUGUGUGCUUUACAUUUUCAUACUUGAAUAAAGAGUUCUGUUCAGUU